AUUGAACGCUGGCGGCAGGCCUAACACAUGCAAGUCGAACGGUAGCACAGAGAGCUUGCUCUCGGGUGACGAGUGGCGGACGGGUGAGUAACGUCUGGGAAACUGCCCGAUGGAGGGGGAUAACUACUGGAAACGGUAGCUAAUACCGCAUAACGUCGCAAGACCAAAGUGGGGGACCUUCGGGCCUCACACCAUCGGAUGUGCCCAGAUGGGAUUAGCUAGUAGGUGGGGUAAUGGCUCACCUAGGCGACGAUCCCUAGCUGGUCUGAGAGGAUGACCAGCCACACUGGAACUGAGACACGGUCCAGACUCCUACUGGAGGCAGCAGUGGGGAAUAUUGCACAAUGGGCGCAAGCCUGAUGCAGCCAUGCCGCGUGUAUGAAGAAGGCCUUCGGGUUGUAAAGUACUCUCAGCGGGGAGGAAGGCGGUGAAGUUAAUAACUUCACCGAUUGACGUUACCCGCAGAAGAAGCACCGGCUAACUCCGUGCCAGCAGCCGCCGUAA
RNAcentral lists this ribosomal RNA (504 nucleotides) under uncultured bacterium. RNAcentral describes it as "partial 16S ribosomal RNA". It matches the Rfam family "Bacterial small subunit ribosomal RNA", at positions 30 to 523 of the family's 1533-position model. The record is from RNAcentral.